UACAGAGGGUGCUAGCGUUGUUCGGAAUUACUGGGCGUAAAGGGCUCGUAGGCGGCCAACUAAGUCCGACGUGAAAUCCCAAGGCUUAACCUUGGAACUGCGUCGGAUACUGGAUGGCUUGAAUUCGGGAGAGGGAUGCAGAAUUCCAGGUGUAGCGGUGAAAUGCGUAGAUAUCUGGAGGAAUACCGGUGGCGAAGGCGGCAUCCUGGACCGACAUUGACGCUGAUGAGCGAAAGCUAGGGGAGCAAACGGG
RNAcentral lists this ribosomal RNA (253 nucleotides) under uncultured bacterium. RNAcentral's name for it is "partial 16S ribosomal RNA". It matches the Rfam family "Bacterial small subunit ribosomal RNA", at positions 524 to 776 of the family's 1533-position model. The record is from RNAcentral.